GUUGGCCUUCAUUUUUAUUUUAUCAAAAACAUUGAGAACCCUAGACGUUUCUCUCAAAGAAAAAUCCUUCCAGCAACCAUGAUAUCAUCUCGAGCUUUGAAUCAUUCUAUUCAAUCUGUAUCCAUUUUCUUCGAUCUGUAGCAUAUUAAACGAUCGAGAUUAUUUUAUUCUCCUUCUCUUGCAUACAGCUUGCUUCACUCACAAUGUCGAUCUGGUUUCUGUAAUGUUCUAUUCUCUUUUUAUGGUUUUGUUAUGCAUUACAUUAGCACUAAGAAGAUGAAGACUUCGGAUAAUUUUACAUGUUAAGAACCCUAGCUACUACUGAUUAGAUUGUUGGUCAGUUUUCAGAAAUUGUUAGGGUUUUUACUUCGAUUCUUCAGAUUCCGGUCACAAGGUUCAUUUCAAUUUGGAUUUCUAGGGUUUCUACUCCGAUUCUUAAAUUUUUAUUUUUUAGUGACAACAUCCGUCUCAAUUUUAGUCGUUAGGGUAUGUACUUCAAUUCUUCAAAUUGGGUAUCAGUCAGUUUCCGGAAAUUGGGAAGGUUUAAUGUUUUUGUUUGCAGGAUCGAUUCGAACGCAUGUGCUAGGUAGUUCGUCGAUUAUUAGUUGGGUGAUUACUGAGCUAGAUGGCCGAACUUCCUCUGUGCUUGUUCUGUCUUCUCCUCGGGCUCAGUUCAACAUCACUGGUCUUGGUGGCCCCUUCCUCAAAAUAGUGCAACAUCAAAGUGGUUUACAACAAGUAAGGGAUUGCACGCUGCUGGACUAAGUGGAAUAAUGGCUGUCAACCAAUAUAUUGUUGUUGCCUGGGAGGACAAUGGCUUCAGGUAGCUGCUGAGACAAGUAUAACAUGCUGGUGUCCUACCAUCACUGAAUCCUCCUUGUUGGACAGGGUUUGUGCCUUAGGAAGUAUAUUUAUUAAUGCUUGAGAAGAAGUUUGUUCAUCCUCAACUACAUAAGUCUUCUCUAAAGAUAGCUGCAAUUCAAAUGCAUCCAGCAGAAAGCAGAGACGAAUCAAGAUUUCAACAAGUUAAACUGAAGAUGUGCGACUCCCAGGUAUAUAUGCAUCCUGAAAAAAUGCACAUUGUUUCUGAUAAGUAGAGCCAUUCUGAGGUUUUGCUAGGAUUAAAUUCACUCCACCCAAUCUUCUUGCAUAACUCAUUAAGUAGUUUACAUACAAUUGAAUUUGUAUUUGAUCUGUAGAUAUUAUGAUUUUAAUAUAUGCCACAUAUGCGAAUGUGUCAGGUAUUGGUUUCUGU
This is a long non-coding RNA of Papaver somniferum (opium poppy), 1255 nucleotides long. RefSeq lists it as uncharacterized. Lineage: Eukaryota; Viridiplantae; Streptophyta; Magnoliopsida; Ranunculales; Papaveraceae. The transcript has 3 exons. The record is from RefSeq and is a predicted model, not a curated record.